UCCGUGUUGACCACGGCAGUAUCCCAUGAGUCCCCGGCAUAACCCGCUGGCAACAUAGGACGAGGGUUGCGCUCGUUGCCGGACUUAACCGAACAUCUCACGACACGAGCUGACGACAACCAUGCACCACCUGUAUAGAAGUGUCCAAAGAGUCCUGUAUCUCUACAGUGUUCUUCUAUAUGUCAAGCCUUGGUAAGGUUCUUCGCGUUGCAUCGAAUUAAUCCGCAUGCUCCGCCGCUUGUGCGGGCCCCCGUCAAUUCCUUUGAGUUUUAGCCUUGCGGCCGUACUCCCCAGGCGGGGAACUUAAUGCGUUAGCUACGACACAGAAACCGUGGAAUGGUCCCUACAUCUAGUUCCCAACGUUUACGGCAUGGACUAC
RNAcentral lists this unclassified non-coding RNA (379 nucleotides) under uncultured Microbacteriaceae bacterium. RNAcentral's name for it is "contains 16S-23S intergenic spacer region". Lineage: Bacteria; Bacillati; Actinomycetota; Actinomycetes; Micrococcales; Microbacteriaceae. The record is from RNAcentral.